RNAcentral lists this ribosomal RNA (515 nucleotides) under uncultured bacterium. Its description in RNAcentral is "partial 16S ribosomal RNA". It matches the Rfam family "Bacterial small subunit ribosomal RNA", at positions 28 to 523 of the family's 1533-position model. The record is from RNAcentral.
GAUGAACGCUGGCGGCGUGCCUAAUACAUGCAAGUCGAGCGAAUGGAUUAAGAGCUUGCUCUUAUGAAGUUAGCGGCGGACGGGUGAGUAACACGUGGGUAACCUGCCCAUAAGACUGGGAUAACUCCGGGAAACCGGGGCUAAUACCGGAUAACAUUUUGAACCGCAUGGUUCGAAAUUGAAAGGCGGCUUCGGCUGUCAUUUAUGGAUGGACCCGCGUCGCAUUAGCUAGUUGGUGAGGUAACGGCUCACCAAGGAAACGAUGCGUAGCCGACCUGAGAGGGUGAUCGGCCACACUGGGACUGAGACACGGCCCAGACUCCUACGGGAGGCAGCAGUAGGGAAUCUUCCGCAAUGGACGAAAGUCUGGCGGAGCAACGCCGCGUGGGUGAUGAAGGCUUUCGGGUCGUAAAACUCUGUUGUUAGGGAAGAACAAGUGCUAGUUGAAUAAGCUGGCACCUUGACGGUACCUAACCAGAAAGCCACGGCUAACUACGUGCCAGCCGCCGCCGUAA